This 372-nucleotide ribosomal RNA is filed under the name uncultured organism. Its description in RNAcentral is "bacterial SSU rRNA". It matches the Rfam family "Bacterial small subunit ribosomal RNA", at positions 526 to 896 of the family's 1533-position model. The record is from RNAcentral.
CAGAGGUCUCAAGCGUUGUUCGGAUUCAUUGGGCGUAAAGGGAGUGUAGGUGGCGGGGUUAGUCAGGUGUGAAAUCUCGGGGCUCAACCCCGAAACUGCACUUGAUACUGCCUUGCUAGAGUACUGGAGAGGAGAUUGGAAUUUACGGUGUAGCAGUGAAAUGCGUAGAUAUCGUAAGGAAGACCAGUGGCGAAGGCGAAUCUCUGGACAGUUACUGACACUGAGGCUCGAAGGCCAGGGGAGCAAACGGGAUUAGAUACCCCGGUAGUCCUGGCAGUAAACGGUGCGCGUUUGGUGUGGGAGGAUUCGACCCCUUCUGUGCCGGAGCUAACGCGUUAAACGCGCCGCCUGGGGAGUACGGUCGCAAGAUUA